RNAcentral lists this long non-coding RNA (213 nucleotides) under Brassica napus (rape). RNAcentral describes it as "long non-coding RNA (BNAP_LNC024557)". Lineage: Eukaryota; Viridiplantae; Streptophyta; Magnoliopsida; Brassicales; Brassicaceae. The record is from RNAcentral.
GGGUCUAGGAUUUGGGUUUGAGUUUAGAGUUUACGGUUUGGGUUUAGGGUCUAGGAUUUGGGUUUAUAGUAUAGAGUUUGGGUUUAAGGUUUACUAUUUGGUUUUAGGGUAUAUGGUUUGGGUUUAGUAUUUAAGGGUUUGAUUUAGAUUUACGGUUUAUAAUUUAGGAUUUAGGGUUUUGCUAGGCAUCAUUCUUUUUUCAACUAUUUUAAA